This 197-nucleotide ribosomal RNA is filed under the name uncultured bacterium. Its description in RNAcentral is "partial 16S ribosomal RNA". It matches the Rfam family "Bacterial small subunit ribosomal RNA", at positions 328 to 539 of the family's 1533-position model. The record is from RNAcentral.
ACGCUCGACACCUACGGGAGCAGCAGUGGGGAAUAUUGCACAAUGGGGGAAACCCUGAUGCAGCGACGCCGCGUGGGGGAAGAAGGUCUUCGGAUUGUAAACUCCUGUUGUUGGGGAAAAAGAGGAUGGUACCCAACAAGGAAGUGACGGCUAACUACGUACCAGCAGCCGCGGUAAUCUGAGCGGGCUGGCAAGGC